This 1364-nucleotide ribosomal RNA is filed under the name Klebsiella pneumoniae. RNAcentral's name for it is "partial 23S ribosomal RNA". It matches the Rfam family "Bacterial large subunit ribosomal RNA", at positions 890 to 2236 of the family's 2925-position model. RNAcentral also lists the same sequence under 2 other names. The record is from RNAcentral. Lineage: Bacteria; Pseudomonadati; Pseudomonadota; Gammaproteobacteria; Enterobacterales; Enterobacteriaceae.
UCAUCUUCGGGGGUAGAGCACUGUUUCGGCUAGGGGGUCAUCCCGACUUACCAACCCGAUGCAAACUACGAAUACCGAAGAAUGUUAUCACGGGAGACACACGGCGGGUGCUAACGUCCGUCGUGAAGAGGGAAACAACCCAGACCGCCAGCUAAGGUCCCAAAGUCAUGGUUAAGUGGGAAACGAUGUGGGAAGGCACAGACAGCCAGGAUGUUGGCUUAGAAGCAGCCAUCAUUUAAAGAAAGCGUAAUAGCUCACUGGUCGAGUCGGCCUGCGCGGAAGAUGUAACGGGGCUAAACCAUGCACCGAAGCUGCGGCAGCGACACUAUGUGUUGUUGGGUAGGGGAGCGUUCUGUAAGCCUGCGAAGGUGACCUGUGAGGGUUGCUGGAGGUAUCAGAAGUGCGAAUGCUGACAUAAGUAACGAUAAAGCGGGUGAAAAGCCCGCUCGCCGGAAGACCAAGGGUUCCUGUCCAACGUUAAUCGGGGCAGGGUGAGUCGACCCCUAAGGCGAGGCCGAAAGGCGUAGUCGAUGGGAAACAGGUUAAUAUUCCUGUACUUGGUGUUACUGCGAAGGGGGGACGGAGAAGGCUAUGUUAGCCGGGCGACGGUUGUCCCGGUUUAAGCAUGUAGGCUGGUUAUCCAGGCAAAUCCGGAUAAUCAAGGCUGAGGUGUGAUGACGAGGCACUACGGUGCUGAAGUAACAAAUGCCCUGCUUCCAGGAAAAGCCUCUAAGCAUCAGGUAACAUCAAAUCGUACCCCAAACCGACACAGGUGGUCAGGUAGAGAAUACCAAGGCGCUUGAGAGAACUCGGGUGAAGGAACUAGGCAAAAUGGUGCCGUAACUUCGGGAGAAGGCACGCUGGUGUGUAGGUGAAGUCCCUGCGGAUGGAGCUGAGACCAGUCGAAGAUACCAGCUGGCUGCAACUGUUUAUUAAAAACACAGCACUGUGCAAACACGAAAGUGGACGUAUACGGUGUGACGCCUGCCCGGUGCCGGAAGGUUAAUUGAUGGGGUUAUCCGUAAGGAGAAGCUCUUGAUCGAAGCCCCGGUAAACGGCGGCCGUAACUAUAACGGUCCUAAGGUAGCGAAAUUCCUUGUCGGGUAAGUUCCGACCUGCACGAAUGGCGUAAUGAUGGCCAGGCUGUCUCCACCCGAGACUCAGUGAAAUUGAACUCGCUGUGAAGAUGCAGUGUACCCGCGGCAAGACGGAAAGACCCCGUGAACCUUUACUAUAGCUUGACACUGAACAUUGAGCCUUGAUGUGUAGGAUAGGUGGGAGGCUUUGAAGCGUGGACGCCAGUCUGCGUGGAGCCAACCUUGAAAUACCACCCUUUAAUGUUUGAUGUUCUAACGUUGGCCCCU